This 393-nucleotide ribosomal RNA is filed under the name uncultured Methanosaeta sp. RNAcentral describes it as "bacterial SSU rRNA". It matches the Rfam family "Archaeal small subunit ribosomal RNA", at positions 946 to 1338 of the family's 1478-position model. The record is from RNAcentral. Lineage: Archaea; Methanobacteriati; Methanobacteriota; Methanomicrobia; Methanotrichales; Methanotrichaceae.
UAUGAAGGCCAGGCUGAAGACUUUGCCGGAUUAGCUGAGAGGUGGUGCAUGGCCGUCGUCAGUUCGUACUGUGAAGCAUCCUGUUAAGUCAGGCAACGAGCGAGACCCACGCCCACAGUUGCCAGCGUACUCUCUGGAGUGACGGGUACACUGUGGGGACCGCCGCUGCUAAAGCGGAGGAAGGAAUGGGCAACGGUAGGUCAGUAUGCCCCGAAUCUCCCGGGCUACACGCGGGCUACAAUGGUUGGUACAAUGGGCAUCUACCCCAAAAGGGGAAGGAAAUCUCUUAAAGCCAAUCGUAGUUCGGAUUGAGGGCUGCAACUCGCCCUCAUGAAGCUGGAAUCCGUAGUAAUCGCGUUUCAACAGAACGCGGUGAAUACGUCCCUGCUCCUU